CCUACGGGAGGCAGCAGUGAGGAAUAUUGGUCAAUGGGAGAGAUCCUGAACCAGCCAAGCCGCGUGAGGGAAGACGGCCCUAUGGGUUGUAAACCUCUUUUGUCGGAGAACAAACCCCGGGACGUGUCCCGUACUGCGUGUAUCCGACGAAAAAGCAUCGGCUAACUCCGUGCCAGCAGCCGCGGUAAUACGGAGGAUGCGAGCGUUAUCCGGAUUUAUUGGGUUUAAAGGGUGCGUAGGCGGUCCGUUAAGUCAGCGGUAAAAUUGCGGGGCUCAACCCUGUCGAGCCGUUGAAACUGGCAGACUUGAGUUGGCGAGAAGUACGCGGAAUGCGCGGUGUAGCGGUGAAAUGCAUAGAUAUCGCGCAGAACUCCGAUUGCGAAGGCAGCGUACCGGAGCCAGACUGACGCUGAGGCACGAAAGCGUGGGGAUCGAACAGGAUUAGAUACCCUUGUAGUC
Molecule: ribosomal RNA, 459 nt
Filed under: uncultured bacterium
Lineage: Bacteria
Description: partial 16S ribosomal RNA
Rfam family: Bacterial small subunit ribosomal RNA
Source: RNAcentral